AAUGGCUUUAGUGGCGGACUGGUGAGUAACGCGUAAGAAAUCUACCUAUUAGAGGGGAACAACAAUGAGAAAUCAUUGCUAAUACCGCAUAUGCCAUAAACAUCGCAUGAUGAAAGUGGGAAAGGAGCAAUCCGCUGAUAGAUGAUCUUGCGUCUGAUUAGUUAGUUGGUGGGGUAAUGGCCUACCAAGACGACGAUCAGUAGCCGGACUGAGAGGUUGAACGGCCACAUUGGGACUGAGAUACGGCCCAGACUCC
This 256-nucleotide ribosomal RNA is filed under the name uncultured Oscillospiraceae bacterium. RNAcentral describes it as "partial 16S ribosomal RNA". It matches the Rfam family "Bacterial small subunit ribosomal RNA", at positions 85 to 339 of the family's 1533-position model. The record is from RNAcentral. Lineage: Bacteria; Bacillati; Bacillota; Clostridia; Eubacteriales; Oscillospiraceae.